Molecule: small nuclear RNA, 103 nt
Filed under: Capra hircus (goat)
Lineage: Eukaryota; Metazoa; Chordata; Mammalia; Artiodactyla; Bovidae
Source: RNAcentral
GUGCUUGCUUCAGCAGCACAUAUACCAAACUGGAAAAAGGCAGAGAAGAUUAGCAUGACCCCUGUGCAAGGAUGACUUGCAAAUUCAUGAAACUUUCAUAUUU